UCGAGAAUUUUUCACAAUGGGCGCAAGCCUGAUGGAGCGACGCCGCGUGGGGGAUGAAUGGCUUCGGCCCGUAAACCCCUGUCAUUUGCGAUCAAACCUUGUUAUUUAAAAGAUGACGAGCUGAUAGUAGCGAAAGAGGAAGGGACGGCUAACUCUGUGCCAGCAGCCGCGGUAAUACAGAGGUCCCAAGCGUUGUUCGGAUUCACUGGGCGUAAAGGGUGCGUAGGUGGCGAGGUAAGUCGGAUGUGAAAGCUCGGAGCUCAACUCCGAAAUGGCAUUGGAAACUACCUUGCUUGAGGGUCGGAGGGGGGACUGGAAUACUUGGUGUAGCAGUGAAAUGCGUAGAUAUCAAGUGGAACACCAGUGGCGAAGGCGAGUCCCUGGACGACUCCUGACACUGAGGCACGAAAGCUAGGGGAGCAAACA
RNAcentral lists this ribosomal RNA (426 nucleotides) under uncultured Verrucomicrobiota bacterium. RNAcentral's name for it is "bacterial SSU rRNA". It matches the Rfam family "Bacterial small subunit ribosomal RNA", at positions 355 to 774 of the family's 1533-position model. The record is from RNAcentral. Lineage: Bacteria; Pseudomonadati; Verrucomicrobiota.